GUCUCUUGAAGAGAACAAUUUGAAAUAAUUUAAUAGUUUUUUUAUUAUUCAAUUUUGUCUCCACUAUUUAUUUGUCUUAUAUCAUAUUUUGGUAAUUGCUCUAAGAUUUACUCUCUACAUCUUUAACUUAUCACAGCGUACAAUCAAAUAAUAAUACUCUACUUCACAUACAUUCUAGGAAUCUUACAAUAGUCUUUUGCUACUCCUUUUCUCCAUAUUGUAAACUCCUCAAUACAUUGUUACUAGUUUUGAUUUAAAAAGUCAAUUAUUACUUAAUGUUUUCAAAAAUAAGAAAAAUAAACUUCUUUUAUACUUACCUACAUUUUUAUAAUAUCAAAUGUCCUCAAUUCCUUUGUGGAAAUCCACAUUUCCAAUUGAUACCAUAUUCCUUCAUUUAACCAUUUAUUGUAGUUUUAAUUUGCUACCAACAAAGUCUCUCGGUUUUUUAAUAUAAAAAUAUCUUUUGUUUUGUUUUGUUUUGGUGCUCAGUUUUGAAAGAUUUUUAUUUUGCUGAGUACAAAACUCCAUGUUGAUAGAAGUGGAGGGAGAAAGAUGACCAGAGAAGCCUGCCAGUAAUCAACACUGUGGAGAAACAGAAAGGGUGAACAAAGUUAACAGGAUUUGUCAAUUAAAACAUCAUUCAUGCUCCACAGGACAUUGGCUCUGUAUUCUUCAGAAUUAAGGAGAAAAUAUAGAUAGUAGCUGUAGCUUAUUUUUGCAAGAAGAUUGGUAUUAAAAUUAGGAGGCAGAAUAAUAGACUGAUAGGAUAGGACAGGAUAGGAUAGGAUAGGAUAGAAUUUAAACAUGCACACACAAAACAAGCGCUAGUUGAUAGAGAAAGUUUCAGAAUCAAGUAGAGAGAAUUGAAUUUUGCAGUAUUAGUUUUUUUUUGCUGUGGAACAAAUUCUCACAGAUGUA
This 918-nucleotide long non-coding RNA is filed under the name Homo sapiens (human). RNAcentral describes it as "HSALNT0297352". Lineage: Eukaryota; Metazoa; Chordata; Mammalia; Primates; Hominidae. The record is from RNAcentral.